This 501-nucleotide ribosomal RNA is filed under the name uncultured bacterium. Its description in RNAcentral is "partial 16S ribosomal RNA". It matches the Rfam family "Bacterial small subunit ribosomal RNA", at positions 29 to 523 of the family's 1533-position model. The record is from RNAcentral.
AGUGAACGCUGGCGGCAUGCCUUACACAUGCAAGUCGAACGGCAGCACGGGUGCUUGCACCUGGUGGCGAGUGGCGAACGGGUGAGUAAUACAUCGGAACGUACCUUAUCGUGGGGGAUAACGCAGCGAAAGUUGCGCUAAUACCGCAUACGCCCUGAGGGGGAAAGCGGGGGACCGUAAGGCCUCGCGCGAUUAGAGCGGCCGAUGUCUGAUUAGCUUGUUGGUGAGGUAAAAGCUCACCAAGGCGAUGAUCAGUAGCUGGUCUGAGAGGACGAGCAGCCACACUGGGACUGGGACACGGCCCAGACUCCUACGGGAGGCAGCAGUGGGGAAUUUUGGACAAUGGGGGCAACCCUGAUCCAGCAAUGCCGCGUGAGUGAAGAAGGCCUUCGGGUUGUAAAGCUCUUUUGUCAGGGAAGAAACAGCAGCUCUAACACAGUCUGCGAAUGACGGUACCUGAAGAAUAAGCACCGGCUAACUACGUGCCAGCAGCCGCCGUAA